This 460-nucleotide ribosomal RNA is filed under the name uncultured bacterium. Its description in RNAcentral is "partial 16S ribosomal RNA". It matches the Rfam family "Bacterial small subunit ribosomal RNA", at positions 338 to 795 of the family's 1533-position model. The record is from RNAcentral.
CCUACGGGGCGCAGCAGUGAGGAAUAUUGGUCAAUGGACGAGAGUCUGAACCAGCCAAGUAGCGUGAAGGAUGACUGCCCUAUGGGUUGUAAACUUCUUUUAUAUGGGAAUAAAAUGUUCCACGUGUGGGAUUUUGUAUGUACCAUAUGAAUAAGGAUCGGCUAACUCCGUGCCAGCAGCCACGGUAAUACGGAGGAUCCGAGCGUUAUCCGGAUUUAUUGGGUUUAAAGGGAGCGUAGGUGGAUUGUUAAGUCAGUUGUGAAAGUUUGCGGCUCAACCGUAAAAUUGCAGUUGAAACUGGCAGUCUUGAGUACAGUAGAGGUGGGCGGAAUUCGUGGUGUAGCGGUGAAAUGCUUAGAUAUCACGAAGAACUCCGAUUGCGAAGGCAGUUCACUGGACUGCAACUGACACUGAGGCUCGAAAGUGUGGGUAUCAAACAGGAUUAGAUACCCUGGUAGUC